Molecule: long non-coding RNA, 1805 nt
Organism: Mya arenaria
Lineage: Eukaryota; Metazoa; Mollusca; Bivalvia; Myida; Myidae
Exons: 3
Source: RefSeq, a predicted model, not a curated record
GGGCCGUGUUUGGUUCCGACUGUUGCUCGAGUUACACGGACCCGAGCGGCACGUAGCACGCAUCCCAGCUGUGUCAGGAUUACUGCUGUUGGAACCUUGACCUCACCAAUUAUAAGGUGUGCUGCAGCAACCCCAUUCGACAGGUCCCCUCUUCUGCCCGUGACCAAGAGGCCUGCGCCGAGAGCUGGAUCGCCGAACACAUCUGGGUGCCAAUCGUGUCCGGGUUUGUGUUGUUGGGCCUGAUUGUUUUGUGCUGCUGCUGCUGCUGUUGUGGCUGCUGCUGUCGGAGGGAUCGCAACGUAAUUGUGCAAUCCCCGGGAGGCCCUCAAACGAGCGUUGUGAUGGCCAGCCAGACCAAUAUGAUGCACGCCGGAUAUAACCAGUAGAACCACUUCCGGUCAGAACACGCCAUAACCAUCUUCACAAGCGCCUUAUAUGAAGCAUUUCGACAAUUGGUAGGAUAGGAACAUGUACAUACUGAUAACAAUAAUUAUGUGUGUGAGGACAAUUUUGUAUUUCUUUGUGUUCUCAAUGUUGGGUUUGUAAGAACAGUUUUCUUAUCAGUUGGGACAUUUAGGUGAGGUCAGUCAAGUUGUAAAUUUAAGUGAUUCGUUCGUUUUUAUGGGGCUGUUAUCAUCUCAAUGAUAUCAUGGUAUUGUGUUAAAUGGAACAACAUCGUAAUAUUACCCUUAUUCAUGACAUAUUAUCACAAUGCUUUCGUAUGACAAGGAAACUAGCCGUUCGUUUUACAAGGAAACUAGCCGUUCGUUUGUGACAAUGAAACUAACUCUUAUUGUCACAAUGAAACAACACUUUAUUGUGACAAAGAAACUACACUUUAUUGUGACAAAGAAACUACCCUUUAUUGUGACAAAGAAACUACACUUUAUUGUGACAUUGUGGCAAUGAAACUACCCUUUAUUGUGACAAAGAAACUACCCUUUAUUGUGACAAAGAAACUACCCUUUAUUGUGACAAAGAAACUACCCUUUAUUGUGACAAAGAAACGAGCCUUCAUUGUCGUUGUUGUUUUGAAUUCUAUACUUUUUAUGUUCAGUUUCAAGCAAUUAAGAGUAUAUAUAUAUAAGAAUUAAUAUCACUGCUACGACUUUGUCUUUUUGUAAUUUUGUGAACACAUGACCACUUUUUAAUUAUAAAUGAAUUAAACGCACUGUUGCAUAUUUUAUAUGUAGUUUAAUGAAACAACUUAAUUAUUCAUUAAACCUUUCAUAAAUGAACAUAGGUUAAUGAAGUGAAACACUAAUCUACAUAACCUGAAUUGUUUAAACAUCAUCAUGUCAUAGUGACUAACAGGUUAGGAAUUUCUCAAAAAACUAUGCAUCCUUCAUGACUGUAUAACACUUAAAAUUAAUAAUGUUAUUUAAACCUCUUCAAUUUUGUAAGUUUUCUCUGAAAUAAGGAAGGUUAAUCUCACGGACAGUAAACAAUUUCUGAAUUAUUUACAUGUAUUGCUAUUCUGAUAAAACAACUAAGAUAAUUUUAUAACUCCACAAAAGAAUACAUCUUUUUAUAUUCAAAAAGUUGCCACAAAGUUGACAUUUGGUAUUUUGCAUUUUGAAACCUUUGUCCCAAAUUAGUUAACAGGUUCAUGCAACGUAGUUAUAUAACACGACCGUUAGGAUUUUUUUAAUUAAAAGUACUGUUCCCAUAUUUGAAUCAACAAAAUAUCUCGAGAAAAGCCUUUGUUGAAUUACGCGUAUAUACAAACUAUCAUUGCCAACUUUGGAGCUUAUCAGGGUAAGGCGGUCUCUAUCGACUUCUCCUCUCAAUGCAAUAGUAGCGUU